GGAGGAUGCGAGCGUUAUCCGGAUUUACUGGGUGUAAAGGGCGUGUAGGCGGGAUGGCAAGUCAGGCGUGAAAACUAUGGGCUCAACCCAUAGCCUGCGUUUGAAACUGUCGUUCUUGAGUGAUGGAGAGGCAAGCGGAAUUCCGUGUGUAGCGGUGAAAUGCGUAGAUAUACGGAGGAACACCAGUGGCGAAGGCGGCUUGCUGGACAUUAACUGACGCUGAGGCGCGAAAGCGUGGGGAGCAAA
This 246-nucleotide ribosomal RNA is filed under the name uncultured bacterium. RNAcentral describes it as "partial 16S ribosomal RNA". It matches the Rfam family "Bacterial small subunit ribosomal RNA", at positions 527 to 772 of the family's 1533-position model. The record is from RNAcentral.